This 849-nucleotide long non-coding RNA is filed under the name Equus caballus (horse). RNAcentral's name for it is "lncRNA (ENSECAG00000033951.3)". The record is from RNAcentral. Lineage: Eukaryota; Metazoa; Chordata; Mammalia; Perissodactyla; Equidae.
CCUGUUUCUGUUUUUCUACCACGUCGACAACUGUGUUUCAGCGGCAUGGUGGACGAGCAGCGCUCAGGCAGGAAGCCUUCCUCUCCCAGCAGCCGAGAGCCGGCCGCUGAACUCCUCGUCUUGCUGGACACAGCCCAGCCUGCUUCCUUCCUGCAGCCUCAGGGUUCUGAUCCGAACUUCCUGCAUGCAAAUCUCCAGCCUGGCCUGAAAAGAUCAGCCUUCAUGUGGAAACCAUUGCUGCCAGAUGCCAUUCUCAGUGUGUCCCACUAAUUGAGUCUUCACACACCCUAGCAGGUAUUUCAAAGUUCAAAGGGAACAGAGGGCUUUGAGUGAAAAUUUGUCUCCCUUAUACCCAACCUGCAACAAGGCAACUGUUGGCUCCCAUCCGAGCCGCCCCAGGCACACACAGGCACGUCUGCGAACGGGCGAGAAGCCCUUCUUCGGCCAGACCUGUCUCUUCUCCUGCACUCUGCAAUGCCCUCUUUCUGAAGCGGAAGCUAAUCGCCAAAAUGUUAACCAAGAUGGGAGAAAAAAGCUUCAGUGUAACCACUGGUGCCCGGGGCGCCCUUUGUUUUUAAACAGUCUCCUCAGGCUUAGCCAUACAGCGUCGUCACCCAGCUUAUUUUUCAGUAAAAGGGAUUUUGUAAAGUCGUUUUCUCCCAGUGUCACCUGUGCUGCUGCCUGUUGCUCUGGUCCUGUUUUCAGGGCCAGAGGCUGCCUUCCGAUGUCGCGCAAUCCUCGGUGGUCGGCUCCUGAUGAAGCGAGCACCACAAGGCACACUGGCAGCCCCGCUGGAGUGGCUCGUCAUCACCGCGGCGUGCGCAUGGGCCAUUUCUUGGAAGCCCAAGG